GGCCCAUGAUGUGACAUUUUGUAAGUGUCAUAUCCAUAUUUACCACCCUUGCCUGAGGCCU
This 61-nucleotide small nucleolar RNA is filed under the name Procambarus clarkii (red swamp crayfish). RNAcentral describes it as "small nucleolar RNA SNORD83". It matches the Rfam family "Small nucleolar RNA SNORD83". From Rfam's summary of the family: U83 (SNORD83) and U84 (SNORD84) are members of the C/D class of snoRNA which contain the C (UGAUGA) and D (CUGA) box motifs. They act as guanine methylation guides but lack complementarity to ribosomal RNA. Lineage: Eukaryota; Metazoa; Arthropoda; Malacostraca; Decapoda; Cambaridae. The record is from RNAcentral.